CUUUCUUCAAAAUUCCUCUUUUACAC
RNAcentral lists this small RNA (26 nucleotides) under Arabidopsis thaliana (thale cress). RNAcentral describes it as "ATSL072550". The record is from RNAcentral. Lineage: Eukaryota; Viridiplantae; Streptophyta; Magnoliopsida; Brassicales; Brassicaceae.